Molecule: ribosomal RNA, 447 nt
Filed under: uncultured bacterium
Lineage: Bacteria
Description: bacterial SSU rRNA
Rfam family: Bacterial small subunit ribosomal RNA
Source: RNAcentral
UGCCAGACUCCUACGGGAGGCAGCAGUGGGGAAUAUUGCACAAUGGGGGAAACCCUGAUGCAGCGACGCCGCGUGAGCGAUGAAGUAUUUCGGUAUGUAAAGCUCUAUCAGCAGGGAAGAAGAUGACGGUACCUGACUAAGAAGCCCCGGCUAACUACGUGCCAGCAGCCGCGGUAAUACGUAGGGGGCAAGCGUUAUCCGGAUUUACUGGGUGUAAAGGGAGCGUAGACGGCGAUGCAAGCCAGAUGUGAAAGCCCGGGGCUCAACCCCGGGACUGCAUUUGGAACUGUGUGGCUGGAGUGUCGGAGAGGCAGGCGGAAUUCCUAGUGUAGCGGUGAAAUGCGUAGAUAUUAGGAGGAGCACCAGUGGCGAAGGCGGCCUGCUGGACGAUGACUGACGUUGAGGCUCGAAAGCGUGGGGAGCAAACAGGAUUAGAUACCCCGGUAA